UAGGCAUUCGGAGCAGACUCUUUAGGUGCUGGAUCUAUCAGUAUGUACAAGAUCCGCUUGUGCUCGAGGACUAUCUUUAGCUUUCGAUACCAACUAUCAAAAUUGGAUCCUGUCAGUUUAUCACUAUCAAUAGUGAUCGGAGCGAUAAGGUGGAGGCUAUAAAUGCAUAAAAAGAAAAUUAAAAAUCUAAUUAGUAUAUAAAUUAAUUAGGCCU
This 214-nucleotide long non-coding RNA is filed under the name Elaeis guineensis (African oil palm). Its description in RNAcentral is "long non-coding RNA (EGUI_LNC066047)". Lineage: Eukaryota; Viridiplantae; Streptophyta; Magnoliopsida; Arecales; Arecaceae. The record is from RNAcentral.